Molecule: ribosomal RNA, 621 nt
Filed under: Delonix velutina
Lineage: Eukaryota; Viridiplantae; Streptophyta; Magnoliopsida; Fabales; Fabaceae
Description: eukaryotic LSU rRNA
Rfam family: 5.8S ribosomal RNA (bases 226-381)
Source: RNAcentral
UGCGGAAGGAUCAUUGCCGAUGCCCCCCGAACGGAACGACCCGCGGACCGGUUAGAGAACACCGCCGCCGUCGGGGCCGCGCGCCCGGACGGCAGAACAACCAACCCCCGGCGCCAGUCGCGCCAAGGAAACGGAAAGCACGCGCGCGCACGCCCCCGGGCACCCGACCCUCGGGACCCCGUACGGGGAGCGCCGCGGCACUGGUAUGCCACGCAUACACAGAACGACUCCCGGCAACGGAUAUCUCGGCUCUCGCAUCGAUGAAGAACGUAGCGAAAUGCGAUACUUGGUGUGAAUUGCAGAAUCCCGUGAACCAUCGAGUCUUUGAACGCAAGUUGCGCCCGAAGCCAUCCGGCCGAGGGCACGCCUGCCUGGGCGUCACGCAACGUCGCCCCCACCCGAUCGCGGGCGGGGCGGAGGAUGGCCUCCCGCGAGCACCCGUCUCGCGGCCGGCCGAAACAGGAGCGCGCGAGGGCAGCCGCCACGAUCGAGGGUGGGAGGAGAGGAACUCACUCACUCGAGACCGGCCGUGCGCGAGCUGCCGCCGAGCGACGCUGCAGGACCCACGCGCGCCACGGGCGCCGCGGACGCGACCCCAGGUCAGGCGGGGACACCCGCUGA